CCUACGGGAGGCAGCAGUGAGGAAUAUUGGUCAAUGGGCUUACGCCUGAACCAGCCAAGUCGCGUGAGGGAAGACUGCCCUAUGGGUUGUAAACCUCUUUUGUCAGGGAGCAACGCCGGCUACGUGUAGCCGGACUGAGAGUACCUGAAGAAAAAGCAUCGGCUAACUCCGUGCCAGCAGCCGCGGUAAUACGGAGGAUGCGAGCGUUAUCCGGAUUGAUUGGGUUGAAAGGGUGCGUAGGCGGAAUGCCAAGUCAGCGGUAAAAUCGCGGGGCUCAACCUCGCUCCGCCGUUGAAACUGGCGUUCUUGAGUGGGCGAGAAGUAUGCGGAAUGCGUGGUGUAGCGGUGAAAUGCAGAGAUAUCACGCAGAACUCCGAUUGCGAAGGCAGCAUACCGGCGCCCAACUGACGCUGAAGCACGAAAGCGUGGGUAUCGAACAGGAUUAGAUACCCGUGUAGUC
This 460-nucleotide ribosomal RNA is filed under the name uncultured bacterium. RNAcentral describes it as "partial 16S ribosomal RNA". It matches the Rfam family "Bacterial small subunit ribosomal RNA", at positions 338 to 795 of the family's 1533-position model. The record is from RNAcentral.